This 423-nucleotide ribosomal RNA is filed under the name uncultured bacterium. RNAcentral describes it as "bacterial SSU rRNA". It matches the Rfam family "Bacterial small subunit ribosomal RNA", at positions 954 to 1392 of the family's 1533-position model. The record is from RNAcentral.
GCUAAACGCGAAGAACCUUACCCAGGUUUGACAUCCUACUAAUUUCUCCGAAAGGAGAGAGUGUCUUCGGACCGUAGUGACAGGUGAUGCAUGGCCGUCGUCAGCUCGUGUCGUGAGAUGUUUGGUUAAGUCCAUCAACGAGCGCAACCCUUGUAACUAGUUGGAUUUUUCUAGUUAGACUGCCCCGGUAACGGGGAGGAAGGAGGGGAUGAUGUCAGGUCAGUAUUUCCCUUACACCCUGGGCUAGAAACACGCUACAAUGGCCGGUACAAAGGGCAGCCAAGUCGCGAGACGGAGCAAAUCCCAUCAAAGCCGGUCUCAGUUCGGAUAGGAGGCUGAAACUCGCCUCCUUGAAGUCGGAAUCGCUAGUAACGGUAGGUCAGCACACUACCGUGAAUACGUUCCCGGGUCUUGUACACACCG